GCCUGAGCACUGUGAAAGCACAGAGGACAUACAGACAUGAGGGGCCUCAGAUUAAUAUUUUCCUCCCUGAUUUAUCCCCUUGCCCUCCCUUGCACAUCACUUUGGUAUGACAACAAUACAUAGUUCGAUUACAUGUGAGAUACAAAAUCAUGGUAGCUGUUCAAAAAUAUUCACAGGCAGAGAAUUUCAGAAACCACAGUCAAACACAGACACAAGGUCAAAUGUGGGGGAAUAUCCUAUGAAAAUCACCGAAGGAGAAGAGAAAACAAAAAGCUGUUCUUUCUACUAUUUAGCCUUUCCAGCAUUCCUGUCUUCACACUUUGGCCCCAAGUAAAAGUACUCUAAAGAGAAUAUGUCCACAGGUCUCAUGAGGAGGAAGAGGAUAGUAUUGGGGGUAGUGAGGGGAGUGGCAAACAACAAUAGCAACGCAACAGAAAAACCAGAGUAUAUGUACUAUUUAAUUCUACUUUAAGAUGCUGCUAUGAACUCGAGUGCAUUUAAUUCCCUUUUAAACAUCACGUAAGUUUCUCUCCUCCCUGCUCACUCUGUGGGCUCCAUACUGAGUCUAAGAUUAAUCCCUUGGGAGUUUUUUAUUUCCUAUUCUGCCUAUCUUUCAUCUUCACCCCAGGCUAAGCAGAUGGAUGUGAAUUCAAAGUUUUCUGAUCUUUAGCACAAGUUAUGGAGGGUUAUCUUUGGCUGUAUAUCUUUCUGCUGGCAGAGCUCCCUUGGUGAUGAAGGAUUAACCACCCCAGCUGUCUCUUCCCAGAAUGAUGCAGUGCCAUGCUCCUCAACACGACAGCAUCACUUAAUCUUAAUGUCCGCUCUCCGAGCGCAGCCGCGCAGGACAAAGCCAAUCAACAUCAGAUGCCACCAAGAUGGACCUACUGCUUGGCCCUGGAGUCUCUCACCCACUCACUCCUAUUAAUCAACAUCAUCCAACCCAAUCCCAGAGUUCACUUCUCUCCAACCACAGUUAAACCAAGCUGGGGUCCAUGUUUGCCAUCUGAAGCAGAAGGCAGGGGGAGGGGUGAUAAGCAACAACCAGCUAUGACAGCAUACCAAGGCAUGUCACUGAGUGACAGUCUUUCUUCUGCUCAGCUCCUCUCUUACACCAACUUUGGUUCUGGAGCCUUCGACACUUCAUCAUGUACUCAAUUCAGCCAUAGAGAUGUGUUUAAUCUCAAAUGGAAUAUACCUGUCUUUCAAAGACCCUAGAAAUAUCACAAGGAAGACAUGGAACCAUUUACAGACAAACUGAAUGAGCCUUUUCUUAUCUUCACCCUGACCAGAUCACUUUUCCUCUGUUCCCUCUUCCAAAGCAAGGCCUCAAAAUCUCUAUUAUUCUUUUCUUUCUUCAGCCAGUUCUGGGGCUUGCAUUUUGGGCUUAGGUGCUUUCCCUGAGCUUUUUUGC
Long non-coding RNA from Perognathus longimembris pacificus (Pacific pocket mouse), 1411 nucleotides. RefSeq lists it as uncharacterized. Lineage: Eukaryota; Metazoa; Chordata; Mammalia; Rodentia; Heteromyidae. The transcript has 4 exons. The record is from RefSeq and is a predicted model, not a curated record.